Molecule: ribosomal RNA, 495 nt
Filed under: uncultured bacterium
Lineage: Bacteria
Description: partial 16S ribosomal RNA
Rfam family: Bacterial small subunit ribosomal RNA
Source: RNAcentral
UGAACGCUGGCGGCGUGCCUAAUACAUGCACGUCGAGCGAACAGAUAAGGAGCUUGCUCCUUUGACGUUAGCGGCGGACGGGUGAGUAACACGUGGGUAACCUACCUAUAAGACUGGGAUAACUUCGGGAAACCGGAGCUAAUACCGGAUAAUAUUUCGAACCGCAUGGUUCGAUAGUGAAAGAUGGUUUUGCUAUCACUUAUAGAUGGACCCGCGCCGUAUUAGCUAGUUGGUAAGGUAACGGCUUACCAAGGCGACGAUACGUAGCCGACCUGAGAGGGUGAUCGGCCACACUGGAACUGAGACACGGUCCAGACUCCUACGGGAGGCAGCAGUAGGGAAUCUUCCGCAAUGGGCGAAAGCCUGACGGAGCAACGCCGCGUGAGUGAUGAAGGUCUUCGGAUCGUAAAACUCUGUUAUUAGGGAAGAACAUACGUGUAAGUAACUGUGCACGUCUUGACGGUACCUAAUCAGAAAGCCACGGCUAACUACGUG